Saccostrea cuccullata (small rock oyster) is the source of this 425-nucleotide long non-coding RNA. RefSeq lists it as uncharacterized. Lineage: Eukaryota; Metazoa; Mollusca; Bivalvia; Ostreida; Ostreidae. The record is from RefSeq and is a predicted model, not a curated record. The transcript is spliced from 3 exons.
GGCAAUUUUCUUCAUCAAUAUUACAGGAGGGGAUUUAAUGAGAGGACCGUGUGAAAACAGAGAUCAUGGAUGUUGUUCGGGGACGAUAUGUAACAAAUCCCAGCAAAUAUGUACAGUUUGCAGACCUGGUUAUAUCGGAGAAUUCUGAAAUAUCACAUGUAGCUACCCUCUCUAUGGUAUGUUGUGUCUCAUGACGUGUUCUGCUGAUGAAUCUAAAGACCACUAUGGUUUUAGAACUGGAUGUUCCAAUGAAGGUAAUCAAUGGUUUUCCAAGGUCGCGAAAGUCUGACAUAUUUGCUUACGUAGUACGAAAUAUUAAGUGAUCAAGAAUUUUGGCGCUCUCUGAUUGGUCUAGACGACUUUUCCUAAGAUGUACCUCAGAUUGAAUUCACCGGGAUGUUUAUUCGAGUGUUCCCUCUUUACCA